Molecule: long non-coding RNA, 1768 nt
Filed under: Apteryx haastii (Great spotted kiwi)
Lineage: Eukaryota; Metazoa; Chordata; Aves; Apterygiformes; Apterygidae
Description: lncRNA (ENSAHAG00000002204.1)
Source: RNAcentral
NNAGCACCGGGCACCGCGAAGAGCUUUUAGGGAAAAACCUGGCUGUUUGGGGGUGCGGGCUGGCACGGGGUCCCCCGCCACAGCCCGGCCAGGCCCGGGAGCCGGCGCCGUCGGGCAGCACGGAGCGGGCUGCAGGCCGCCUCGGCGGCGCGGCUGGAAAAGGCCCGUCGGAAAAUUGCUCCAGCCCUGCCCCGACGUGCGGAGCUCGGCCCCGGGAAGGGGGACCCGGUACCGGGAGGAGCAGCGGGACGGACGGUCACCCCGGCCCUGAGGACGCUGCCGAGCCGCUGCGGCGGAGCAGGGAGCGGGGCCCCCUCGGGGCCGGAGCCCGCUCGGCCUAAUCGGGGCCCCGGUCGGGACCGGGACCGAGAUCGGGUCGCGGCGGCCUCCGCCCCGUCGGCUCUCCCCGGCCAAGCCCUCGCCCUUCCCGCAGUGGGGAGAAGCCGCCUCUUCCGACGGCGCCAGCCCGAGUCUCCUUCCCCGGGAAGGGAAUUAUUUCUCUGGGGAAAAAGCCUCGGGUGUCCGGGGCCGCCCGGGCCGCGGAGCCGCGGGGCAGCGGCGGCGGCGGCGGCGGCGGGUGGGAGGGGCACAGCGGGAGCGGGCGAAGCGCGGCCCCUCGCCCGGGAUCCGCGGCCGGUGGCACCGGGGACGGGGCCCGGAGAGGCGGCGGCGAAGGACGGGUCGGUCCCCGCCGUGGGGAAGCGACGGAGGGAGAAAGGAAGGAGCGAAGGGGGAGAGGAGCGGAGCGGAGCGAGCGCGCCGUCUUCGGCGAGGCCGUGCCAGGCUGGCUGGAGCCGGCUGCCAGGCGGCGGAGCCGUGCGGGAAGGGCUGGCGGCCCCCGCCGCGCCGGGGACAUCUGCUCGCCACCGGCGCCUCGCUCGGGAAGGGCUCGGUACCGGCGGAGCCGCGCUCCCCGCCCGCCGCCUCACGGAACGGGCUGCGGGUUUGUCCCGGUUUAACACCGCGAUUUCGCGGCGCUGGGUUGUAUUUUUAAUUCCUGUUAUUUUGUUUCCCCAGCGCCCGCCCGGCUCCGCCGAAGCGAGACGGUGCAAACACUUGCCCGGGUGCUACGGGAACGAGCCGGCCCCGCAAUGCGGCCCCGCACACGGGGCAAGGCUCCGGUGCCCGGCUCCGGUGCAAAGCUCCCGUGCCCGGCUCCGGUGCACGGUCCCGGUGAAAGGCUCCGGUGCACGGCCCUGAUGCAAAGCUCCCGUGCACGGCCCUGGUGCACAGCCCCGGUGCACGGCUCCGGUGCAAGGCUCCGGUGCCCGGCUCCGGUGCCCGGCCCGCACCCGCGGACACGAUGCGCAGCAGCCGUGCGCUCGUCGCCGCCGGGGGAAGGCAGGAGGUCGCGAUCUGCCACCGCCACCCCGCCGGGAUCCGCUAAGAUUUCGUGUGAUCGCAGGGUCCAAGUCGCCGCGGGGCGGAGGGGAUUCGUGUGAAACCGGCCGGCUCGGGCGGGGCCGGGUGCGUGGAGGGUCGGGGGACGGAGGGACGGAGGGAUGGAGGGAUGAAAGGAUGGAGGACGGAGGAAUGGAAGAACGGAGGGAUGAAGGGAUGGAGGGACAAGGGAUCGGUGAAGGGGCUGGCCGGAGCGGCGGAGAGCGGCAGGGCCGGGGCAGGGAGCGCAGCCGCUGAGGGCACCGAGCAGGGGCACGUUUCGCCUCCCAAAUGCCUGGGCUCAGCCCACCUAUUUCCAGGCAGGAUCGGAGCGGGGGAAGGGGGGGGGAUUUCUGCGCCCACCUCCCCUUCGGCCCCGGGAUCGAGC